UCUGCAGUCCAGCUUGCAGGAAGGGAACGGAAGCAUAAGGGAAAGAAUGACUCAAGGUCCUGCUGAGGAAAUGGCACACAUCACUUCUUCUCGGAUUCCUUCUGCCCUCAGUCAGUCAUAUGACCCCAUCUCAAUGCAAAGAAGUUGAGGAAGUGCCAUUUAACCGAACUGUACUAACGUAGGGGAUCUUUUAUCUCGAUCAGCCUCAUCAAGCAAAGAAGGGGGUCGGAAGGACUUAAGAUGGAGAACUGACCACACCAUAGUUCGGAUAGAAAAUGAAGAAGCCCCGUGGAGGACACGUCUGAGCCCAGGUGUACAGCAUUAGAGCCCUGCCUCACCUCAAGCUUAUUUUUUCCCUUCAGACUCAGUUUCCAGCCCACCCACCU
Zalophus californianus (California sea lion) is the source of this 386-nucleotide long non-coding RNA. RefSeq lists it as uncharacterized. NCBI's taxonomy places the organism in Eukaryota, Metazoa, Chordata, Mammalia, Carnivora, Otariidae. The transcript is spliced from 3 exons. The record is from RefSeq and is a predicted model, not a curated record.